UCACCUACGGGAGGCAGCAGUGGGGAAUAUUGGACAAUGGGGGGAACCCUGAUCCAGCGACGCCGCGUGAGUGAAGAAGUAUUUCGGUAUGUAAAGCUCUAUCAGCAGGGAAGAAAGAAAUGACGGUACCUGACUAAGAAGCCCCGGCUAACUACGUGCCAGCAGCCGCGGUAAUACGUAGGGGGCAAGCGUUAUCCGGAUUUACUGGGUGUAAAGGGAGCGUAGACGGCCAAGCAAGCCAGGGGUGAAAGCCCGGGGCCCAACCCCGGGACUGCCCUUGGAACUGCUUGGCUGGAGGGCGGGAG
RNAcentral lists this ribosomal RNA (305 nucleotides) under uncultured bacterium. RNAcentral describes it as "bacterial SSU rRNA". It matches the Rfam family "Bacterial small subunit ribosomal RNA", at positions 335 to 654 of the family's 1533-position model. The record is from RNAcentral.